Molecule: small nucleolar RNA, 129 nt
Organism: Octodon degus (degu)
Lineage: Eukaryota; Metazoa; Chordata; Mammalia; Rodentia; Octodontidae
Source: Ensembl
AGCACGUGGGUGUGUUUUUGUCUUAACUUGUACACUAAAACUUAAUGAAUGGGUGCAAAAAAUAAAUCCUCUUUGGUAACCCGGAGCUCAUAGUUCGGUAUGAGUUCGAGGCAUUGAGGGAACGUUACU